Molecule: ribosomal RNA, 468 nt
Filed under: uncultured bacterium
Lineage: Bacteria
Description: partial 16S ribosomal RNA
Rfam family: Bacterial small subunit ribosomal RNA
Source: RNAcentral
GACGAACGCUGGCGGCGUGCUUAACACAUGCAAGUCGAACGGAAAGGCCCUGCUUUUGUGGGGUGCUCGAGUGGCGAACGGGUGAGUAACACGUGAGUAACCUGCCCUUGACUUUGGGAUAACUUCAGGAAACUGGGGCUAAUACCGGAUAGGAGCUCCUGCUGCAUGGCGGGGGUUGGAAAGUUUCGGCGGUUGGGGAUGGACUCGCGGCUUAUCAGCUUGUUGGUGGGGUAGUGGCUUACCAAGGCUUUGACGGGUAGCCGGCCUGAGAGGGUGACCGGCCACAUUGUGACUGAGAUACGGCCCAGACUCCUACGGGAGGCAGCAGUGGGGAAUAUUGCACAAUGGGCGGAAGCCUGAUGCAGCAACGCCGCGUGCGGGAUGACGGCCUUCGGGUUGUAAACCGCUUUCGCCUGUGACGAAGCGUGAGUGACGGUAAUGGGUAAAGAAGCACCGGCUAACUACGUG